GUCGAACGGGACUUUUAUUUCGGUAAAAGUCCAGUGGCAAACGGGUGAGUAACGCGUAGGCAACCUGCCUCCAAGAUGGGGACAACAUCCCGAAAGGGGUGCUAAUACCGAAUGUUGUAAAGCCAUUGCAUAAUGGCUUUACCAAAGGCGGCUUUUAGCUGUCGCUUGGAGAUGGGCCUGCGUCUGAUUAGCUAGUUGGUGACGGUAACGGCGCACCAAGGCAACGAUCAGUAGCCGGUCUGAGAGGAUGGACGGCCACAUUGGGACUGAGAAACGGCCCAGACUCCUACGGGAGGCAGCAGUGGGGAAUCUUCCGCAAUGGGCGAAAGCCUGACGGAGCAACGCCGCGUGAACGAGGAAGGUCUUCGGAUCGUAAAGUUCUGUUGCAGGGGACGAAUGGCAGUAGUGUUAAUACCACUAUUGAAUGACGGUACCCUGUUAGAAAGCCACGGCUAACUACGUGCCAGCAGCC
This 472-nucleotide ribosomal RNA is filed under the name Pectinatus cerevisiiphilus. RNAcentral's name for it is "bacterial SSU rRNA". It matches the Rfam family "Bacterial small subunit ribosomal RNA", at positions 61 to 516 of the family's 1533-position model. Lineage: Bacteria; Bacillati; Bacillota; Negativicutes; Selenomonadales; Selenomonadaceae. The record is from RNAcentral.